Molecule: signal recognition particle RNA, 287 nt
Filed under: Candidatus Aminicenantota bacterium
Lineage: Bacteria; Candidatus Aminicenantota
Description: signal recognition particle sRNA large type
Rfam family: Bacterial large signal recognition particle RNA
About the family: The signal recognition particle (SRP) is a universally conserved ribonucleoprotein involved in the co-translational targeting of proteins to membranes. Archaeal SRP consists of a 7S RNA and homologues of the eukaryotic SRP19 and SRP54 proteins.
Source: RNAcentral
CCGUGCUAGGCGGGGUGUUAGCGGUACCCUGAUUCCCUGAAAGCCAGGGAGGACUCGCAAGCCGCUGCAGCGAGGCUGACGACUCCGCUGAGGGUCGCCCCCGGUGAGCCACUCCGUUUCGUGCGGCGGUGUUGAACGUGGGGUCCUCCACAACGGGCGCCCGUGAACCUGGUCAGUUCCGGAAGGAAGCAGCCAUAAGCGGGAAAGCGCGUGUGUCGGAGGGUUGCUCGACGGGAGCCGCGCGCGCGUUCCGGACCUCAGCGGAAGACUCGAAGCGGAGUGCACGG